GACCAAUGCCUUAUCAAUACAGACUUUCCAUCCUCUCUUCGUUUCUAACCAUUGUGCAGUGCGAAGAGAGACCCCGGCGCAGGCCAGGCGGCGCGUGUCACUCGGCCUGAAUUGCACGGUAAUCGCCAAAACCUUGGCCUAAUUUGCAGCUAAUGGAUCUCGAGCGAGGCAGUCGGGAAGAAACCAGUGACUUUGGAGGGAUCGGAAAUUAAGGGACUGGAAAGAGGAUGUGAUUCAUAUCAUUCUCCUCCUCCCCCUCCUGCACACAACCCUGUGUCUCCCGGCUGGGCCUUUGGGGACACGGCCCCUAGCUCUCCACGGCCUGUGCUCCUGUUGUUCGCUUCUCUCCCUGCGGACCACUGUGUCCAGGGCGCCCUUCCGUGUGCUCAGACCCCGCGCCCUCCGACCGGCUUCUUUCAGUCCCCGGGAGGAGGCGCUGGUGCCCGGGUCGGCCUCUGGUCCCUCCCAGCCGACUUCCUGGAGCCCCCAUUCACAAAGCCCCUCUUGGAAGAGGCGACACACACACACACACACACACACACACACCGCACUACGAGAAGGGGAGUUUGAUCUUGUCUCAUUGGCGUCUCGGGUCUGAAAGGAAAAUCGUUUGGGUAAACAGCCAAGCUUCCAGGCUUAACGCCCGGCUCCCGCCCCCGCCCCUCCAUCCCCACCAGCUUCCCCCACUCCCCUUCAACCCCACCCGCCACCCACACUCGGCUCCGCAGCCAGGCCCCGAGCAAGCUCCGGGCCUCCAGGCGGGAGCCGAGGGCUCCCGGGGUUCAAAGGGCCGCAGCCCCGAGGGAACGCCCUUCUUGCCGUGCUCCUGGGGGCAGAAGCGGACUGCUGGGCGGUGGGACCGGCCUGGGCCACGCUCCGCGCCCCUCCCAGCCUUCCCGCCCUCAGCCGGGAAAGGACUCUGAGAUGACAUCACCACAGAGACCCGCGGCCUCCCCGCCCCCGGCCCCGGGACCCCGGAGCGGAGAUUGACAGGUGUCGCUCGCGAGGACAAUGCCUUCCAGCCCGGGCUUAAUAAUUCUGACUUUUGAAAUCUCCUGUCAUGAAUGAAUCUACACUGCACUCUAUUUCUUGCCCUGCCCUGGAAUUCAGCCAUUCCUGCACUGCAUUUCUUAAGGUGAAGAAGUGAAAGAGGAAGACCAAUCCAAUUGAACAUGUAUUAUUCUCUUCCAUAAUGCUAUUGUAUUAUAUUCUCUUUCCAUUUAUUUAUUUUUUUAUUCUUCUGAUUUCUCUGCACAAAAGAGGGAAAUUCAUCCAAAGCUAUGGAAAGUUUCCUUGAAAGAUUUUUAUCGAGUCACACUUACAUACAGUGCAAUGUGCGUCUCUUACAGCAUUAUACAGUUUGGGAUUUGUUUUUAACCCCAUGAGAAAUGCCGUAUCAGUGCUUUGGCAUAUAUUUGUUCCAAUUUCUACAUUGGUUGGGGAGGGGGAGAAGCUUUCUUUUUAUUAAAUAAAAUACACAUCUGUUUCAUUAAAUAGACACUUCAAGCAUGAGUUGCUAAUGGAACGAAAAUAUAAAUAAAACAUGGAACUAUCCAAAUGCUACAUGUUCUCCACAUUUGCCCCCAAAAUGUGCCUCAUCUCCCUGUACCUCCAAAUAAUAUUUCUAAUGUUUUCAUUUUAUUAGUUUUGCAAUGUCACUCACUGUCAAGGUAGAAUUACUGGAUGGCUUAAGACGACUUUUGUAAAAUUUUCAAAUCCUAAAUUAAAAAAUCAUCUUUCAAUA
Molecule: long non-coding RNA, 1744 nt
Organism: Callithrix jacchus (white-tufted-ear marmoset)
Lineage: Eukaryota; Metazoa; Chordata; Mammalia; Primates; Cebidae
Source: RefSeq, a predicted model, not a curated record